Molecule: non-coding RNA, 26 nt
Filed under: Homo sapiens (human)
Lineage: Eukaryota; Metazoa; Chordata; Mammalia; Primates; Hominidae
Source: RNAcentral
GGAUUUCACAGUGAGACUCAGAGGGU